This 494-nucleotide ribosomal RNA is filed under the name uncultured bacterium. RNAcentral's name for it is "bacterial SSU rRNA". It matches the Rfam family "Bacterial small subunit ribosomal RNA", at positions 899 to 1397 of the family's 1533-position model. The record is from RNAcentral.
ACUCAAAGGAAUAGACGGGGACCCGCACAAGCAGCGGAGCAUGUGGUUUAAUUCGAAGCAACGCGAAGAACCUUACCUAGACUUGACAUCUCCUGAAUUACUCGUAAUGGAGGAAGCCCUUCGGGGCAGGAAGACAGGUGGUGCAUGGUUGUCGUCAGCUCGUGUCGUGAGAUGUUGGGUUAAGUCCCGCAACGAGCGCAACCCUUAUCGUUAGUUGCUACCAUUAAGUUGAGCACUCUAACGAGACUGCCGCGGUUAACGUGGAGGAAGGUGGGGAUGACGUCAAAUCAUCAUGCCCCUUAUGUCUAGGGCUACACACGUGCUACAAUGGCCGGUACAACGAGAUGCAAACCCGUGAGGGGGAGCCAAACUUCAAAGCCGGUCCCAGUUCGGAUUGUAGGCUGAAACUCGCCUACAUGAAGUCGGAGUUGCUAGUAAUCGCGAAUCAGCAUGUCGCGGUGAAUACGUUCCCGGGUCUUGCACACACCGCCCGU